RNAcentral lists this ribosomal RNA (464 nucleotides) under uncultured bacterium. RNAcentral describes it as "partial 16S ribosomal RNA". It matches the Rfam family "Bacterial small subunit ribosomal RNA", at positions 29 to 507 of the family's 1533-position model. The record is from RNAcentral.
ACGAACGCUGGCGGCGUGCUUAACCCAUGCAAGUCGAACGGAAAGGCCCCUUUGGGGGUACUCGAGUGGCGAACGGGUGAGUAACACGUGAGUAACCUGCCCUUGACUUCGGGAUAACUUCAGGAAACUGGGGCUAAUACCGGAUAGGAAUCCUUGCUGCAUGGUGGGGGUUGGAAAGCUUCGGCGGUUUUGGAUGGACUCGCGGCUUAUCAGCUUGUUGGUGGGGUAGUGGCUUACCAAGGCUUUGACGGGUAGCCGGCCUGAGAGGGCGACCGGCCACAUUGGGACUGAGAUACGGCACAGACUCCUACGGGAGGCAGCAGUGGGGAAUAUUGCACAAUGGGCGGAAGCCUGAUGCAGCAACGCCGCGUGCGGGAUGACGGCCUUCGGGUUGUAAACCGCUUUCAGCAGGGGCGAAGCUUGUGGUGACGGUACCUGCAGAAGAAGCACCGGCUAACUACGUG